RNAcentral lists this unclassified non-coding RNA (3035 nucleotides) under Hevea brasiliensis (rubber tree). The record is from RNAcentral. Lineage: Eukaryota; Viridiplantae; Streptophyta; Magnoliopsida; Malpighiales; Euphorbiaceae.
CUUUUGACGACUUUGGAGGUCGUCAACCUCCAGUUUAUCCUGGUUUGUCCACUGUGUGGGGAAGCUUGGCUCGUAGUAAGGCCAAAGGCUACCGAGUUGGGCCAGUAUAUGAUGAUGUUUUGGCAAUGGCUUGGUUUUUUCUUGAGCUAAUUGUGAAGUCAAUGGCAUUGGAGCAAACUCGCCUUUUCUAUCAUAGUCUUCCGCUAGGUGAAGAUGUUCCACCAAUGCAAUUAAAAGAAGGUGUUUUCAGAUGCAUAAUGCAAUUGUAUGAUUGCCUUCUAACAGAAGUGCAUGAGCGUUGUAAGAAGGGUUCAAGUUUGGCAAAACGCUUGAAUAGUAGUUUGGCCUUCUUUUGUUAUGAUCUUUUGUCUAUCAUUGAACCUCGGCAAGUUUUUGAAUUGGUGUCCUUGUACUUAGACAAAUUUUCUGGGGUAUGUCAAUCGGUUCUCCACGAAUGUAAGCUAACCUUUCUUCAAAUUGUGUGUGAUCAUGAUCUUUUUGUGGAAAUGCCUGGGAGAGACCCUUCAGAUAGAAACUACCUUUCAUCUGUUUUAAUACAAGAGCUUUUCCUUACUUGGGAUCAUGAUGAUCUAUCUCAGCGAUCAAAGGCAGCAAGAAUGUUAGUAGUUAUCUUAUGCAAGCAUGAGUUUGAUGCUCGUUACCAAAAGCCUGAAGAUAAAUUAUAUAUUGCACAGCUAUAUUUUCCUCUUAUUGGCCAGAUCCUAGAUGAGAUGCCUGUCUUCUAUAAUCUGAAUGCCGUUGAAAAGCGCGAAGUUUUAAUUGUUAUUCUGCAAAUUGUGCGCAAUCUGGAUGAGACAUCACUUGUCAAGGCAUGGCAGCAAAGCAUUGCACGAACUAGAUUGUUCUUCAAACUUAUGGAGGAAUGCCUUGUUCUUUUUGAGCACAGAAAACCUGCAGAUGGCAUGCUCAUGGGCUCUAGUUCUCGCAGCCCAGUCACAGAUGGACCUUCUUCCCCCAAGUACUCUGAUAGGCUUUCUCCUGCAAUAAACAACUAUCUGUCUGAGGCAUCACGGCAAGAAGUUAGGACUCAGGGAACACCUGAUAAUGGAUAUUUGUGGCAGAGAGUGAAUUCCCAGAGCCAUAUUCCUUGAGAGAAGCUCUUGCUCAGGCACAAUCUUCAAGAAUUGGAGCUUCAGCCCAAGCACUUAGAGAAUCUUUGCAUCCUAUAUUGAGACAAAAGCUGGAGCUUUGGGAAGAAAACCUGAGUGCAGCUGUGAGUCUUCAGGUGCUGGAGAUAUCUGAAAAAUUUUCCAUGAUGGCAGCAUCCCAUAGCAUUGCUACUGAUUAUGGAAAACUUGACUGCAUUACAGCCAUGUUUAUGAGUUUCUUUUCUCGAAAUCAGCCACUGGCUUUCUGGAAAGCUCUUUUUCCUGUCUUCUACAGUGUAUUUGAUCAUCAUGGGGCAACACUAAUGGCAAGGGAAAAUGAUCGCUUUCUAAAGCAGGUUGCUUUCCAUCUUCUACGGCUUGCUGUUUUCAGAAAUGAAAGCAUCAGGAAAAGAGCUGUUAUUGGGCUCCAGAUACUAGUGAGGAGCUCUUUCUUUAUGCAAACAGCAAGAUUGCGGGUCAUGCUGACUAUCACGUUGUCAGAGCUGAUGUCUGAUGUGCAAGUGACUCAGAUGAAAUCUGAUGGAACACUGGAAGAGAGUGGUGAAGCAAGACGCCUUCGCAGGUCUUUGGAGGAAAUGGCAGAUGAAUAUAAGAGCACCAACUUAUUAAGGGAAUGUGGACUGCCUGAAAAUGCAUUGGUGGCAAUUUUGGAAAGGUCUGCAGAAAAUCGAUGGUCCUGGUCGGAGGUGAAAUAUCUCUCUGACAAUCUAAUCCUGGCCCUUGAUGCUAGCCUGGAACAUGCACUUCUGGCUUCUGUGAUGACUAUCGAUAGAUAUGCGGCUGCAGAGAGCUACUAUAAACUUGCUAUGGCAUUUGCACCUGUUCCUGACCUUCACAUAAUGUGGUUGUUGCAUUUAUGUGAUGCUCAUCAGGAAAUGCAGUCCUGGGCAGAAGCUGCACAGUGUGCUGUGGCUGUUGCCGGUGUUGUAAUGCAGGCCCUUGUGGCUAGAAAUGACGGUGUCUGGAGCAAAGAUCAUGUAACUGCUCUACGUAAAAUUUGCCCAAUGGUCAGCAGUGAGAUCUCGUCUGAGGCAUCUGCAGCAGAGGUGGAGGGAUAUGGUGCAUCUAAGCUGACUGUUGACUCUGCUGUAAAAUAUCUACAGCUUGCAAAUAAGCUUUUCUCUCAAGCUGAGCUCUUUCAUUUCUGUGCAAGCAUUCUGGAACUUGUAAUUCCAGUUUAUAAAAGCAGGAGGGCAUAUGGGCAGUUGGCUAAAUGUCAUACAUUGCUCACUAAUAUCUAUGAAUCAAUUCUUGAGCAGGAAUCAAGCCCAAUUCCAUUCACUGAUGCCACAUACUAUAGGGUGGGAUUUUAUGGUGAAAGAUUUGGGAAGCUGGACAAGAAAGAAUAUGUAUACCGAGAACCCCGAGAUGUACGUCUAGGUGACAUAAUGGAGAAAUUAAGUCAUAUAUAUGAAUCUAGGAUGGAUGGGAAUCACACUUUGCAUAUUAUCCCUGAUUCUAGACAAGUUAAGGCAGAUGAAUUGCAGCCUGGAGUCUGCUACUUGCAGAUAACUGCUGUUGAUCCAGUGAUGGAAGAUGAAGAUUUAGGAAGUCGAAGGGAAAGAAUUUUCUCUCUUUCCACUGGAAGCGUCCGUGCACGAGUCUUUGACCGGUUCUUGUUUGACACCCCAUUUACAAAAAAUGGUAAGACCCAAGGUGGCUUGGAAGACCAAUGGAAGAGGCGGACUGUUCUUGAGACUGAAGGUUCUUUCCCUGCCCUUGUGAAUAGGCUUUUGGUAAUCAAAUCUGAAUCUAUUGAGUUCUCCCCAGUAGAGAAUGCAAUUGGGAUGAUUGAAACUCGGACAGCUGCCUUAAGAAACGAGCUUGAGGAGCCUCGUAGUUCUGAAGGGGAUCAACUCCCUCGCCUCCAGAGUUUGCAGAGAAUUCUUCAGGGCAGUGUUGCAG